CACCAUUAACUCGGAUUUAGAACCAUAAGUAGAACAACCAUCAUCCUCGUCCAACACUGCAUAUGGGAGGUUGAACUCACUUCGCUCAUCCUCCACAUCCUCUUUAUCCUCUCCUUGAAGGAAAAAAAGUUUUGAAGCACUAUCUCUAUUCAGAUUUAUGGCGUUUGUCCUCACUCCACUAUUUAUGUUCGGCCUCACUUCACUAUUGCAUCUGUUUGGCCUCAUUACGUCGGGGUUGAAUGUUCCAUUCAGAUUUGCUAUACUCAUCCUCACUUCACAAUCUAUAUUGUUCGUCUUCGCUCCACUACCAUAUUUGCUUGUCCUCACUCCAUCGUUAGGGCUAGACUCUCAUCUAUCCCCUCUACCCCCUUCUCCGAAGAAAAAAAAGUUUAAAGUGUCAAGGCAAAAAAGAGAAAUUGAAAAAAAUUAAGGAAAAACAAUUGUGGAAGAAGAAAAAGUGAAUAAAGAAGCAUCAGAAGAAAAAUUUACAGC
This 492-nucleotide long non-coding RNA is filed under the name Selaginella moellendorffii. RNAcentral describes it as "long non-coding RNA (SMOE_LNC001990)". Lineage: Eukaryota; Viridiplantae; Streptophyta; Lycopodiopsida; Selaginellales; Selaginellaceae. The record is from RNAcentral.